CAGUCGCGUUUGCUUGGACUCAGCCUUACCUCGGUUUGGUGCAUUUCCUUGUGAACGGGCCAGCGUCAAUGUUGUUCGUUGGAAAAGGGUUAGAGAAAUGUGGCUCUUUCGGGAGUGUUAUAGCCCUUUGUCAGACACGUCGGUUGGGAUCGAGGACCUCAGUGCACGCUUCGGUUGUGCUUUGAUGCUGGCGUAAUGGCUUUAAACGACCCCGUCUUGAAACACGGACCAAGGACGUCUAACAUAUAUGCGAGU
This 255-nucleotide ribosomal RNA is filed under the name Pacispora scintillans. Lineage: Eukaryota; Fungi; Glomeromycota; Glomeromycetes; Diversisporales; Pacisporaceae. The record is from RNAcentral.